GAGUUUGAUCGUGGCUCAGGAUGAACGCUGGCGGCGUGCUUAACACAUGCAAGUCGAACGGAGAGCUAUUGACGGAGUUUUCGGACAACUGAAAUAGUUUCUUAGUGGCGGACGGGUGAGUAACGCGUGAGGAACCUGCCUUGGAGAGGGGAAUAACACAGAGAAAUUUGUGCUAAUACCGCAUAAUGCAGUUGGGUCGCAUGGCUCUGACUGCCAAAGAUUUUAUCGCUCUGAGAUGGCCUCGCGUCUGAUUAGGUAGUUGGCGGGUAACGGCCCACCAAGCCGACGAUCAGUAGCCGGACUGAGAGGUUGACCGGCCACAUUGGGACUGAGACACGGCCCAGACUCCUACGGGAGCAGCAGUGGGGAAUAUUGGGCAAUGGGCGCAAGCCUGACCC
This 398-nucleotide ribosomal RNA is filed under the name uncultured bacterium. RNAcentral describes it as "bacterial SSU rRNA". It matches the Rfam family "Bacterial small subunit ribosomal RNA", at positions 9 to 389 of the family's 1533-position model. The record is from RNAcentral.